This 547-nucleotide long non-coding RNA is filed under the name Ficedula albicollis (Collared flycatcher). Its description in RNAcentral is "lncRNA (ENSFALG00000016583.2)". Lineage: Eukaryota; Metazoa; Chordata; Aves; Passeriformes; Muscicapidae. The record is from RNAcentral.
GGAGCCGUGACGGGGGAAGGAGCUGAAGGAGCCGGUUCGGGCACUCCGGGGCCGCCUGAGGGGAAGAAGGGAGUCCUGAGGCUUCUCUGCCUCAGGCUCCUGCACCUCGGCUCAGCCCAGCCCAGGGGGCCGCGCUAGCCCCAAGCCAGCCGGUGUUGCAGUGAAAAGCCGCAGGUGCUCGGGCGGCGGUGCCGAUGGAGCUGAGGCGGGAAGAUGGAGGCCUGUGGAUCCCCUCAUGGCAGCGCGCGGUGGCUGAGUGACUGAGCAAAGCAGUUGAGGAAAAGGAUAGAAACCCCUUGGACUUCUCAUUUUGGAGGGAGGAGGACAUCUCGGAGCAAAUCAGGAAAAUACUGGUUGUAAUAGGGAUAUCUUGCAGGGAUAACUGCAAGAAGCAAUUGGAGGACAGGUCAGAAAAAUGCUGGAAGCAAGAAAGCCCUUUUGGAUCCCUCUCUACAAGAAGAUGGCACCAGAGGAGAGCGUGUGAUGGUCCAGUGCACAGCCACUGCCUUGGGAGAUGCCUGUGGCAGAGCACAGAGGGAUCAUGAUC